GAUUUAAGUUUAAAAAAUCAAAAUAAGCAGGAUUAAGGAGUCAAAUUUUAUAAUUAUCUGAUUGUUUACUAAUUUUAAGAUAAAGCAGGGAUUCCAGUGUAAUUAAUCCAAAAAGGACAAAACAGUGUGGUAUGUUACAGUGUAGCAGGAUCCGCCAAAUGGUUGUCGGAUUUUCAAUUUAUUUAUCCUCAAACUUAGGAAACUACGACACUGGCCCUUCUAACAGGUGUAAUCCCCUAAAUCUAACAUAACUUUUUUUUCCCUUUUAAUUUUAUAAUAAUUAAGGUCAUAUUUAGUAUCGCAAUACCGUAUCUUUUACAUUG
RNAcentral lists this long non-coding RNA (323 nucleotides) under Citrus x clementina. RNAcentral describes it as "Citrus clementina (C. clementina) long non-coding RNA (CCLE_LNC002583)". Lineage: Eukaryota; Viridiplantae; Streptophyta; Magnoliopsida; Sapindales; Rutaceae. The record is from RNAcentral.